CUACGGGGCGCAGCAGUGGGGAAUAUUGGGCAAUGGAGGAAACUCUGACCCAGCGACGCCGCGUGCGGGAUGAAGGCCUUCGGGUUGUAAACCGCUUUCAGCAGGGAAGAAGCGAAAGUGACGGUACCUGCAGAAGAAGCACCGGCUAACUAUGUGCCAGCAGGCCGCGGUAAUACAUAGGGUGCAAGCGUUGUCCGGAAUUAUUGGGCGUAAAGAGCUCGUAGGUGGUUCGUCACGUCGGAUGUGAAACUCUGGGGCUUAACCCCAGACCUGCAUUCGAUACGGGCGAGCUUGAGUAUGGUAGGGGAGUCUGGAAUUCCUGGUGUAGCGGUGGAAUGCGCAGAUAUCAGGAGGAACACCAAUGGCGAAGGCAGGACUCUGGGCCAUUACUGACACUGAGGAGCGAAAGCGUGGGGAGCGAACAGGAUUAGAUACCCCGGUAGUC
Molecule: ribosomal RNA, 445 nt
Filed under: uncultured bacterium
Lineage: Bacteria
Description: partial 16S ribosomal RNA
Rfam family: Bacterial small subunit ribosomal RNA
Source: RNAcentral